UGAUGAAUGCCUGGUUGCAAAUGGUGGCUGCGAUGAUCGGUGCGACAAUCUAAAUGGAUCAUUCGCGUGCGCUUGUACGGACCCAGGAUAUAUUUUAGGAGCAGACUUUCGCUCGUGCGACGAUGUGGACGAGUGCAGUAUCUCUAAUGGUGGGUGUGAAGAUACAUGCACCAAUAUUAUAGGUUCUUUCCUGUGUUUCUGCAACCAAGAUGGCUACCAGUUGGGAAAUGACUCUCAGUCGUGUGAAGAUAUAAAUGAAUGUGCUGUCAAUAACGGCAGUUGUAGUGACAUUUGCAUCAACACCAACGGCUCCUACCACUGCGAAUGUAACGAAGCUGGUUUUGUCCUUGGAGGCGACGGUCACACUUGUCAAGUUGUCAUUGAAGAGUUUAAUUUUACGGCCGUUUUUAAUGGAACGACAACAAGUUCAAUAGCGCAAGACAUUUCUUCCGAGGCAC
Long non-coding RNA from Lingula anatina, 458 nucleotides. Lineage: Eukaryota; Metazoa; Brachiopoda; Lingulata; Lingulida; Lingulidae. The record is from RefSeq and is a predicted model, not a curated record.